This 343-nucleotide unclassified non-coding RNA is filed under the name soil metagenome. RNAcentral describes it as "partial contains 5.8S ribosomal RNA, internal transcribed spacer 2, and large subunit ribosomal RNA". The stretch from base 1 to 120 matches the Rfam family "5.8S ribosomal RNA", at positions 35 to 154 of the family's 154-position model. The record is from RNAcentral.
GAUGAAGAACGCAGUGAAAUGCGAUAAGUAAUGUGAAUUGCAGAAUUCAGUGAAUCAUCGAGUUUUUGAACGCAUAUUGCGCCCUCUGGUAUUCCGGGGGGCAUGCCUGUUCGAGCGUCAUUAAAUAACCCUCAAGCAUAGCUUGGUGUUGGGCUUUUUUACGUCCUUGACUGGGAUGGGCCUAAAAAUUAGUGGCGAUGGCUUUUUUACUUUCAAGCGUAGUAAAUCUCGUCUUGCUAAAGAGGAAAAAGAUUUUUUUUCUGCCAAAAAUUUUAACAUUUAAAGUUGACCUCGGAUCAGGUAGGAUUACCCGCUGAACUUAAGCAUAUCAAUAAGCGGAGGA